GACUACUGGGGUAUCUAAUCCUGUUUGCUCCCCACGCUUUCGUGCCUCAGCGUCAGUUCCGGCCCAGUAAGCCGCCUUCGCCACUGGUGUUCCUCCAAAUCUCUACGCAUUCCACCGCUCCACUUGGAAUUCCACUUACCCCUACCGUACUCAAGUUUGCCAGUUUCCAAUGACCCUUCACGGUUAAGCCGUGAAAUUUCACACCAGACUUAACAAACCGCCUACGCACGCUUUACGCCCAAUAAUUCCGGAUAACGCUCGCCCCAUAUGUAUUACCGCGGCUGCUGGCACAUAUUUAGCCGGGGCUUUCUAGUUAGGUACCGUCAGUAUCAACGUUUUCCACUUGUUGAUAUGUUCUUCCCUAACAACAGAACUUUACAAUCCGAAGAUCUUCAUCAUUCACGCGGCAUUGCUCGGUCAGGCUUUCGCCCAUUGCCGAAAAUUCCCUACUGCAGCCCCCCGUAGG
This 466-nucleotide ribosomal RNA is filed under the name uncultured Bacillota bacterium. Its description in RNAcentral is "uncultured Firmicutes bacterium partial 16S ribosomal RNA". The record is from RNAcentral. Lineage: Bacteria; Bacillati; Bacillota.